Molecule: long non-coding RNA, 7605 nt
Organism: Globicephala melas (long-finned pilot whale)
Lineage: Eukaryota; Metazoa; Chordata; Mammalia; Artiodactyla; Delphinidae
Source: RefSeq, a predicted model, not a curated record
UUGAGAUCCUGAAAACAGCAAGUUCUAAACCAUACAGCAGUUCUGGACUUCCACUUAGGAUCUGAAGUAAUCCACUUAGAAAGCUGCAAAAAAUGUUUCUCCCACCCUGACAAGAAACGGCUGGAUGACAGACAAAAGCGUAACAUUUUUGAGCCCUCAGGUGACUGAGGCUGCGAGGUAGACACAAACUGAAUUCCGAAGAGGGAAAAUCCACUGAGAGGAGAGACGGGGCACACAGACUCUCUACUGUCUCACAUCAAUGGGAGAAAAGGUAGCUGCUAUAUAAGCAGGUAAGAAAAAUUUAGCUAAGAUUUUAACAUUUGUAAAAGCUAAGCGUGGGCUAUUGGAUCACUUUGGAACGGGACUGGCUACUUAAUUUGUGGGUCUUAGCGCGAAAUGAAAAUACGAGAACCCUUGCUCAAAAAUGAAGACUUCAGGAUGGUGACAGCAGAGCGUGAAACCAGACGCAAGGACCUUCUAAGCGUGGGCUGUUUGUGAGUGCACAGGUCAUGUGCCUUGAAGCCAGUGCUCAGACGCAGAGGCGGUUCCCACUCACCUGAAAGCUGUUCGCCCUCCUUCCGCCUUCACCAGGUGUCCGCCAGAAGGAGAGAGAGCACGGCCGACCUCCGUGCAAACGAGGAGGUGAUUGGUGCCUGUGCAGGAACAAGCUCAAAGCCCCACUAGCUUCCCGGGAUCCUUCUCCCCCGCAGAGCCGAAGUCUUAAGGUGCUGGGGGUGGUACACCAGGUACUGUGGCCACAGGACACUGGCAAAGAUUUACUGUUUCUAGAGAAACAGUAAAAGCAAAACCCACCUUCCUCUUCCAGGACGCAGGCGAAGACUUGUUGCUGCUGGGGGAAGGGUAGAAGCAGAACGUCUCUGCUGCUGGGGGAGGGGCAGAUACAGAUACCAGACGAUGGCUGUCCUGCUACGGGUGGCGCAAAGAACAAGCACCCCAGACCCACCACAGUUAUCAGCCCGAGUUUGGAGGUCACAGGUAGGAGGAACAGGAAUGCCAAGAAAACCUCACCCCUGAAGCCAAAGUACAAAGGGCCUGCCUGAGAUUUGAGGCCGAAUUGGAACAAACAGCGUGUCACCUGCUCCUACCACGAGUUUAGCACCCAACCACAAGCAACAGCUGUCUACAACCAGGGGCGGGGUCAGAGCAUGGAGGAGGACCCUCUCUCUGAUACAGGUCCUUAAGGUGUACAGUUAGGUUAUGGAGGCUGGAAGUUGGAGAUCAGGGUGCCAGCAUGGGUGAGUUCUGGUGAGAGCCCUCUUCUGGGUUAUAUAUUGUCAACUUCUAAUUCUAUCUGACUUUUAAUACAGGCAUUUACAGCUAUAAAUUUCCCUGCAAACACUGCUUUCACUGUAUCCCACAGGUUUUGGUACACUGUGUUUUCAUUUUCACUCAUCUCAAAGUAUCUUCUCAUUUCCCUGGUGAUUUCUUCUUUCACCCCCCCGCCCCGCAAAGGUUAUUUAGGAGUGUCUUAGUUUGUACCUAUUUGUAUAUUUUCCAGUUUUUCUUUUGUUAUUGAUUUCUGAUUUCAUCCCACAGUGUCUGGAGAACAUACUUUGUAUGACUCCAAUCUUAAAUGUUCUAAGGCGUAGGGUUUAUAGCCAAGCACAUGGUCAGUGUUGGAGAAUGUUCCAUGUGCGUUUGAGAAAACUGUGUUCUGCUAUUGCCUGGUGGAGUGUUCUGCAGAUGUUAGGUAAAGUUGUAGUGUUUUUCAAGUCUUCUAUUUCCUUGCUGAUCUUCUGUCUAGUUCUGUUAUUGCAGGUGGCAUAAUAAAGUCUCCAACUAUUUGUUUCUUCCUUCAAUUCUGUUCAUUUCUGCUCUGUAUAUUCUAGGGCUCCACUGUUAAGUGCAUACGUUUAUGAUAUAUUUUCCUAAUAGUCUGACUCUUUAUCAUUGUGAAGUGUUCUUCUUUAUUUCUAGUAACAGUUUUUGGUUUGAAAUCUGUUUGGUCUGGUAUUAGUAUAUCCAGUCCAGCACUUUUAUGGUUACUAUUUGCAUGAUGUAUCUUUUCUCACCAUUUUAUUUUUAACCUAUUUUUGUUUUUGAAUCUAAAUUAUGUUUCCUGUAGACAUUAUAAAGCUAGAUAUUUAAAAACAAAAACACCAACUUGAUAAUUUCUGCCCUUUGAUUGCAUUGUGUUGAUGACUCAUUCAGUGUUAUUGAUAUGACUGGAUUUAUACCUGCCAUUUUCUUUUCUUUUUUUAAAUAUGCCUUUCUUUGUUUAUUGGUUCCUGCUUUAACUGCUUUCUUUUUAGUAAAAUAUUAUUUUCUAACAUAGUAUUUAAAUUCCUUUAAUAACUUUACCAUUAUUUUUCUUUUUUAGUGGUUGCUCUGGAACUCAGAAUACACAACUUAUGAAAUUCUACUUCAGAUUUAUAAAUUCUAGUGAUUUAAGAGGUAUUUACUCCUAGAUAGCAUAUAGCUCCUUUCCAUUUCCAUUCCCCGUUUUUGGUAUUGCUGUUAUACACAGUAUAUGUUACAAACCCCCAAAAUUAUUAUAUACACUUUGUAAUAUAAUUACUAUAAUAUAUAAUUACUAUUUUAUAUACUCUUAUGACCCUGAAGAAGCUGAGAGAGAAGGAGAGUGAGUGUAUAUUUAUAGAUUUUGUUAAAUAACCUUCUCAUUUGUAUUUUCUUCAUAUUCUUCCUUUAAUUCAAGUUACCAUCUGGUGUUACUUCCUUCUUUAGUACAGCUUUGUUCCCACCCACCUCCUCUGUGCUGUUACUAUCAAAUCUACGGCUGCAUUUCUAUAUAUUCUGUUUCUUUUAAGUUCAAUUAUACUACAAAUAUAUCCUUACUGUGUCAUGCAACUGGUUUUUAAAUCAGUUAAGAAGGUGCAAUUCUACCAUCUUCUACUAUUACUACCUUGUGUGUGCAGCUGACUUACUUUCUGGUAUCAUUUGCUUUCAGCCUGAAGUGCUCCCUCUAGUAUAUCUUGUAUGGUAAGUCUGCCAGCAUUGAAUUCCCUCAGUUUUUGUUUAUCUGGGUAUGCCCUUCUUUUGUGUUCAUUCUGAAGUUGUGCUGGAUAUGACCUUGGUUUUUUAUUUUCAGCACUUUGAGUAUGUUUCAUUGCCUUUCUGAGGAAAUGUCAGCUGCUUAUUCAAUUGAGGUUCCCUCCUGUAAGUCAUUUUUCUCUUACUGCCUUCAAGAUUAUUUCUUUUAGACUCUCAACAUUUUGACCAUGAUGUGUCUGACUGCUCCUGUGUGGAUACAGCCUAAUGUACGUGCACAGCCAUCUUGUCUCCCAGAGUUGACUGUGAUGAUCUCAGGAAAGCUCUUCUUCACUAUCUCUUUCCCUGCUUUUACCUGUUAAAGUUCUCCUUGCUCUCCUCUUUUGCUUGUUGCUACUAGUAUCACGGGAGCUAUGAGAGCCUUCUUCAUUGGUCUCCACCAUAAUACCCACUGUCUUCAACAAAAUACUUAGGCGUGCAAUUCUUGACCCUCUGUUCUAAGUAACGUCAGCCCCCUCAGGCAGAGGUAAGGAACUUUUUGUUCUGCAUCUCUCUCUGAACAGAACUUCUAUGCCACUGUUCCGGAGUUGCAGGCAGGUAUGAUGGCUCACUUCUUAGUGACAUCCCCUGUUCUAGAGUAGGCACUGAGGCAAGAACUGGGGAGACAACAUUUUCUGCCUGCCACACAUGACUGGAACACAGCCUCCACCCUAGGAGCCAGGGAGGGGAAGGGAGUCUCAGCCUGACCGACUGCACCCACUGGGAGCAGAGCCUCUGUAACCCUGGACUGGGACAGGUGAGAUAUGCUGGCACCUGCCCCCCAGGGGGGAGAAACAACAGCCCUGGACUGGGAACUGAGGGAGGGGAGAAGCCCCAUCUUCUUGACCACACCCACCCGGGACAGAACGACUGCAGUGUAGUUUCUGUACAGGGGAUCUGGAAACAGGAGGAAACACUCGUGACUCAAAUUCCACAGACUCUGGUAUUAUACUGAGAGUUAGCAGAUCCAGAAUAAGUGUUUCUGUAUUUGCUGUAUACAUUUAGGACAAAUUCCAAACACUUGAAACAAGUGUUUAAAAUAACAUUUUCCAGUCCAGUAUUUGUUCCUACUGGGGAGAGGGUUUGCCAUGUUCCUCACUCCGCUAUUUCAGAAGCAAAACUCCUCUACCUCUAACUUUAAUAAUCCACGUUGCAGUUUUCCUUCUGAAAGUGAUUACAUACAAUUAAAAUUUAAAGUUACUUACAAGGAAUACUUCAAAGUGUCAUCUAAUUCCAUGAUAGCAGCCUGGUUCCCACAACGAUAACAGUAAUUCGGUGCGCUGAAAAUGGUAACCACAUUCCGAUCGUGACACCAAUUGUAUCCCUGCAGCAUGUAAAAAAAAAAAAAAAUCAGUAUUUCACCAUAAAAUCAUAAUGUUGACAGAGCUAAGUUUAGAAAACUAAACUCAAAAGUUACACGAGUAUUCUCUGUGGAAAUGCAGUCUUCUGUGUUACCUUAUGUGGUGUCCAUCUUUAAUACGUACACCUGCACUGAGAUCCAGCUAUGGAGCUCAGUAACUUUUUCUGCUUAAUCUAUGCUUGAGAUCGAGGCUAGGAUGUGUAUUCAGAUUUCUCCCACAAUGAUGGAAGAUGUCUCAAUUCUUCCUCAUAAAUUAUGUCAAUUUUUGCUUUACAUACUUUGACUCUAUUACUAGGUAAAUAAAAAUUUAGAAUUAUUCUCUCCUAUAUAACUGGGCCACUUUUCAUCAGCAAAAUACCUCUUUUUAUUUCUAAAUAUACUACUGUCUUAUAGCCCUUUCUGAUUCAUAUUAUUAACUAUAUUUUGGAUAAUUAUCUAAUUGAUGUAUUAAUAUACCAUUUUCCAUCCCUCUAUUUCUAGUCUGUGGUAUCAUCAUGUUUUAGAUAAAUCCCAAGUAAUGGGUGAAUUUUUUGAUUAUUUAUCCAAUUUGAGACUCUCAGUAUUUUAGGUAAGUAAAAAUUUUUAUCCAUUCCCAUUCCUUAUGAUUAUAAUGAGGUUUAUCUUUACUGUACAAAUCUACGUUCUUUAUUACCAUGCUGUUACCCCUUCUGCCUCUGUUGGGUUAGUGAAAUUUUCUCUAACAUCUUGAAGCUACUCCCUACUGGUUUGGAAGGAUUAUAUUCUAUUUAUAUUCCUUUAAUGUUUAAAGAAUAGUAACAUCAUGGUAGAGAAAUGUGGCAGGCACCACCUUAACCAAGUGAUCCAAGUUAGUUAAUAGCACCAGCACUGGGAAAGAUCCCAUGACCUGAUACGAUGUGCCGAGAAGGACACAUCAUCAUACUGUGAUACGCCCGCCAAAAGCGCACAUCCCGAAUCAUAAGGAAACAUCAGCCAAACCAUAAAUGAAGGCUAUUUCUACAAAAUAAAAUUGCUUGUAGUCUUCAAAAAUGUCAAGAUUAUGCAAAACAAAGGAAAUCUGAGGAAUUUCCACAUCCGAGGGGACUGAAUACAGCAUGAUCCUGGAUGAGAUUAUAGGUGCACACACAUUAUUAAAUUUCGCUAUAAAAAAUUUUUGCUAUAGAGGACAUUGGUGAGAUAAUAAAAAUUUGACUAAAGCGUUUAUAGACUUAAAAAUUUUUUUUAUUAUUUUAUUUUUUUGGCCGUGCUGCGAGGCUUGUGGGAUCUUAGUUCCCUGACCAGGGAUCAAACUUGUGCCCCCUGCAGUGGAAGCACAGAGUCUUAACCACUGGACCGCCAGGGAAUUCCCUGAAUAAAGCACUUAGAUAAUGGUACUAUAUCAAUGAAAAUUUCCUGACCUUGAUAACUAUACUGUGGUUAUUUAGGAGAAAGUCCUUAUUUUUACAAAACACACAUGGAAAUUUGGAUGUAAAGGAGGAUCUCACCUUCAGCUGACGUUCAAACAGCUAAAAAAAAAAGUAAUGUGUGAGGGGAAAGGGGAAUAGGAAGGGAGAGAGAAUGAUAAAGCAAAUAUUAAAAUAUUUAUACUUUAGGAAUCUGAGUGUAGGACAGAAAGGAAUUUUUUGUUACUAUUUUUUUGCAAUUUUUCUUGAAGUCUAAAUUAAUUACAAAAGUGAUACAUAAUUUCGCUUUGGCCAACUAGUACUUUCCCUACUUGCUAAAAUCAGCCAAGUUUUUUUCCUUUCAUUUAGGUAAUGGGGAGGAAUGUUUCUGACAUUCUAAGUCAUGAAGCUUUAUUAGAGAAACAUUUAUUUGAAACAGAGAUCAUCAUCCUAUAAGAAAAGGACAUACCUCCAUUACCAGUUGGUGAGCACGAGAAACCAGUGUGAGACCAUUGGCAUGGUUAAACGUUUCAGAAAUAUCUUGUCCAAAUGUGUAGCCAGCGCCGCGUGGUGAAAUACCCCACCCACCACGGUCAUCGGGAUCUGACCAUAACAGAUCACACAUUGGGCCCUGGCAAAGAAAACGGAAGUAUGCGACGCCUCUCACUGCUGUGGCCUCUCCCGUUGCAGAGCACAGGCUCCAGACGCGCAGGCUCAGCAGCCGUGGCUCACGGGCUCAGCCGCUCCGCGGCAUGUGGGAUCUUCCCGGACCGGGGCACGAACCCGUGUCCCCUGCAUCGGCAGGCAGACUCUCAGCCACUGCGCCACCAGGGAAGCCCUCUAGAUGAGUUUUGACCAUUAUAUUUCUUUAAUAGACUUUUCAAAAACUGCUUUGGGCCAUAUUGAUCAACUAUGUAGUUUUGGUAUCUAUUUCUGCUUUUAUUUUUAAUUAAUCCAAGUUUAUUUUACUGUUUCAUUCUUUGAAUUAAAUGUAAUUUAUAAAUAAAUGCACUUCCUUGCAUUUCAUCCCUUACUUACAUCUAAAAGUUUUGGUUUACACUAUACUUCCACUUGGUCAUUUAAAAAUGACUUCUAUUUUAUGAGUGUUAGUAGAAGACUGUGAAAGUUCCCAAGGAGGUAGAUCUGUCCUACUACUCAGAAUCAGAAACUGUCACUUAACACAUGGUGUGUAGAUAUAUCAAUAGAUGGAAAGGGAAGCAGGAAGAUGGAGAGGAUGAAAGGAAGAACUUGCUGGUCUCAACGUGUAUAAAACUUACCCAGUUCCCUGUUCUGAAACUUAAAGUAUAAGGGAAAGAGGCAGAAAAGGCCGAGGAGAUGCAGAAAGAAUGUCAUGUCAAUCUAGACCCUAAAUUACUAACAGAAAAUCUUUUCCUACUUUUAUCUGUCCCCACAUACAUACCUGCCCAUCUACUAAAGCUGUAAGUGGCAGAUAGUCAAACAGAUCUGUAAAGUAUUUCCAAACAUUGGCAUUCCCAUACUUUCGCAGACAUUCAUCAUAAAAGCCAUAUACUUGGGUAAUUUGUCGGCUUUCGUGGUUUCCUCUCAAUAUUGUAAUACGUUCUGGGUAACGCACCUGAAGGAAAAGGCAAAGAAACCCAUGGAAGUAUUUUUACUAGUGUUAUGCUAAGCACAUUAACCUCUGACCCAUUUCUUUAAAUGGUCCUUCAGUCUGCUAGUACAUUAAAUGUAAAUUUUUUCAGAAUAAAAAAUUUUCUCAUUCAUCACCAGGUCCUCUUGAUUAACCUUUGAAAUAUUUUUUUAUGGCCAUCCUUCUUCAUACUGUGUAUCCAUACUCCCCUCACUGGAAUCCUUAUUAACUGGUAACUAUUUUAUUAUAAUAAAAUCGUAUCUGAC